UUAAGCGACUAAGCGUACACGGUGGAUGCCCUGGCAGUCAGAGGCGAUGAAGGACGUGCUAAUCUGCGAUAAGCGUCGGUAAGGUGAUAUGAACCGUUAUAACCGGCGAUUUCCGAAUGGGGAAACCCAGUGUGUUUCGACACACUAUCAUUAACUGAAUCCAUAGGUUAAUGAGGCGAACCGGGGGAACUGAAACAUCUAAGUACCCCGAGGAAAAGAAAUCAACCGAGAUUCCCCCAGUAGCGGCGAGCGAACGGGGAGCAGCCCAGAGCCUGAAUCAGUGUGUGUGUUAGUGGAAGCGUCUGGAAAGGCGCGCGAUACAGGGUGACAGCCCCGUACACAAAAAUGCACAUGCUGUGAGCUCGAUGAGUAGGGCGGGACACGUGGUAUCCUGUCUGAAUAUGGGGGGACCAUCCUCCAAGGCUAAAUACUCCUGACUGACCGAUAGUGAACCAGUACCGUGAGGGAAAGGCGAAAAGAACCCCGGCGAGGGGAGUGAAAAAGAACCUGAAACCGUGUACGUACAAGCAGUGGGAGCACGCUUAGGCGUGUGACUGCGUACCUUUUGUAUAAUGGGUCAGCGACUUAUAUUCUGUAGCAAGGUUAACCGAAUAGGGGAGCCGAAGGGAAACCGAGUCUUAACUGGGCGUUAAGUUGCAGGGUAUAGACCCGAAACCCGGUGAUCUAGCCAUGGGCAGGUUGAAGGUUGGGUAACACUAACUGGAGGACCGAACCGACUAAUGUUGAAAAAUUAGCGGAUGACUUGUGGCUGGGGGUGAAAGGCCAAUCAAACCGGGAGAUAGCUGGUUCUCCCCGAAAGCUAUUUAGGUAGCGCCUCGUGAAUUCAUCUCCGGGGGUAGAGCACUGUUUCGGCAAGGGGGUCAUCCCGACUUACCAACCCGAUGCAAACUGCGAAUACCGGAGAAUGUUAUCACGGGAGACACACGGCGGGUGCUAACGUCCGUCGUGAAGAGGGAAACAACCCAGACCGCCAGCUAAGGUCCCAAAGUCAUGGUUAAGUGGGAAACGAUGUGGGAAGGCCCAGACAGCCAGGAUGUUGGCUUAGAAGCAGCCAUCAUUUAAAGAAAGCGUAAUAGCUCACUGGUCGAGUCGGCCUGCGCGGAAGAUGUAACGGGGCUAAACCAUGCACCGAAGCUGCGGCAGCGACACUAUGUGUUGUUGGGUAGGGGAGCGUUCUGUAAGCCUGCGAAGGUGUGCUGUGAGGCAUGCUGGAGGUAUCAGAAGUGCGAAUGCUGACAUAAGUAACGAUAAAGCGGGUGAAAAGCCCGCUCGCCGGAAGACCAAGGGUUCCUGUCCAACGUUAAUCGGGGCAGGGUGAGUCGACCCCUAAGGCGAGGCCGAAAGGCGUAGUCGAUGGGAAACAGGUUAAUAUUCCUGUACUUGGUGUUACUGCGAAGGGGGGACGGAGAAGGCUAUGUUGGCCGGGCGACGGUUGUCCCGGUUUAAGCGUGUAGGCUGGUUUUCCAGGCAAAUCCGGAAAAUCAAGGCUGAGGCGUGAUGACGAGGCACUACGGUGCUGAAGCAACAAAUGCCCUGCUUCCAGGAAAAGCCUCUAAGCAUCAGGUAACAUCAAAUCGUACCCCAAACCGACACAGGUGGUCAGGUAGAGAAUACCAAGGCGCUUGAGAGAACUCGGGUGAAGGAACUAGGCAAAAUGGUGCCGUAACUUCGGGAGAAGGCACGCUGAUAUGUAGGUGAAGCGACUUGCUCGUGGAGCUGAAAUCAGUCGAAGAUACCAGCUGGCUGCAACUGUUUAUUAAAAACACAGCACUGUGCAAACACGAAAGUGGACGUAUACGGUGUGACGCCUGCCCGGUGCCGGAAGGUUAAUUGAUGGGGUUAGCGCAAGCGAAGCUCUUGAUCGAAGCCCCGGUAAACGGCGGCCGUAACUAUAACGGUCCUAAGGUAGCGAAAUUCCUUGUCGGGUAAGUUCCGACCUGCACGAAUGGCGUAAUGAUGGCCAGGCUGUCUCCACCCGAGACUCAGUGAAAUUGAACUCGCUGUGAAGAUGCAGUGUACCCGCGGCAAGACGGAAAGACCCCGUGAACCUUUACUAUAGCUUGACACUGAACAUUGAGCCUUGAUGUGUAGGAUAGGUGGGAGGCUUUGAAGUGUGGACGCCAGUCUGCAUGGAGCCGACCUUGAAAUACCACCCUUUAAUGUUUGAUGUUCUAACGUUGACCCGUAAUCCGGGUUGCGGACAGUGUCUGGUGGGUAGUUUGACUGGGGCGGUCUCCUCCUAAAGAGUAACGGAGGAGCACGAAGGUUGGCUAAUCCUGGUCGGACAUCAGGAGGUUAGUGCAAUGGCAUAAGCCAGCUUGACUGCGAGCGUGACGGCGCGAGCAGGUGCGAAAGCAGGUCAUAGUGAUCCGGUGGUUCUGAAUGGAAGGGCCAUCGCUCAACGGAUAAAAGGUACUCCGGGGAUAACAGGCUGAUACCGCCCAAGAGUUCAUAUCGACGGCGGUGUUUGGCACCUCGAUGUCGGCUCAUCACAUCCUGGGGCUGAAGUAGGUCCCAAGGGUAUGGCUGUUCGCCAUUUAAAGUGGUACGCGAGCUGGGUUUAGAACGUCGUGAGACAGUUCGGUCCCUAUCUGCCGUGGGCGCUGGAGAACUGAGGGGGGCUGCUCCUAGUACGAGAGGACCGGAGUGGACGCAUCACUGGUGUUCGGGUUGUCAUGCCAAUGGCACUGCCCGGUAGCUAAAUGCGGAAGAGAUAAGUGCUGAAAGCAUCUAAGCACGAAACUUGCCCCGAGAUGAGUUCUCCCUGACUCCUUGAGAGUCCUGAAGGAACGUUGAAGACGACGACGUUGAUAGGCCGGGUGUGUAAGCGCAGCGAUGCGUUGAGCUAACCGGUACUAAUGAACCGUGAGGCUUAACCUU
Molecule: ribosomal RNA, 2901 nt
Filed under: soil metagenome
Description: bacterial LSU rRNA
Rfam family: Bacterial large subunit ribosomal RNA
Source: RNAcentral